GACGAACGCUGGCGGCGUGCUUAACACAUGCAAGUCGAACGGAAAGGCCCUGCUUUUGUGGGGUGCUCGAGUGGCGAACGGGUGAGUAACACGUGAGUAACCUGCCCUUGACUUUGGGAUAACUUCAGGAAACUGGGGCUAAUACCGGAUAGGAGCUCCUGCUGCAUGGUGGGGGUUGGAAAGUUUCGGCGGUUGGGGAUGGACUCGCGGCUUAUCAGCUUGUUGGUGGGGUAGUGGCUUACCAAGGCUUUGACGGGUAGCCGGCCUGAGAGGGUGACCGGCCACAUUGGGACUGAGAUAGGGCCCAGACUCCUACGGGAGGCAGAAGUGGGGAAUAUUGCAGAGUGGGCGGAAGCCUGAUGCAGCAACGCCGCGUGCGGGAUGACGGCCUUCGGGUUGUAAACCGCUUUCGCCUGUGACGAAGCGUGAGUGACGGUAAUGGGUAAAGAAGCACCGGCUAACUACGUG
This 468-nucleotide ribosomal RNA is filed under the name uncultured bacterium. RNAcentral's name for it is "partial 16S ribosomal RNA". It matches the Rfam family "Bacterial small subunit ribosomal RNA", at positions 28 to 507 of the family's 1533-position model. The record is from RNAcentral.